RNAcentral lists this unclassified non-coding RNA (253 nucleotides) under Glomus sp. Its description in RNAcentral is "partial internal transcribed spacer 2". The stretch from base 1 to 65 matches the Rfam family "5.8S ribosomal RNA", at positions 84 to 154 of the family's 154-position model. The record is from RNAcentral. Lineage: Eukaryota; Fungi; Glomeromycota; Glomeromycetes; Glomerales; Glomeraceae.
GUGAAUCAUCAAAUUUUUGAACGCAAAUUGCACUCUCUGGGAAGAGUAUGCCUGUUUUAGUGUCAGCCUCAAAAAAAUCGACAUAGUUGCUUUUUUCGCUGUGACAUUGGUCGGGAAUUGGGUCAUCUUAAACCUUUGUGUUUUAAGCGGCUUAAAAUUUUCGUUACGAUUCCACGAACGUUUCUACGAUAUUUACUUCUUACACGAUUAAGAUAUCGACCUGUAUUAGGCGUGACCGUUGUAUCUGAUGACG